UACAGAGGUGGCAAGCGUUGUUCGGAAUUACUGGGCGUAAAGGGCGCGUAGGCGGCCUCUUUAGUCAGACGUGAAAUCCCCCGGCUUAACCUGGGAACUGCGUCUGAUACUGGGAGGCUAGAGUUCGGGAGAGGGAUGUAGAAUUCCAGGUGUAGCGGUGAAAUGCGUAGAUAUCUGGAGGAAUACCGGUGGCGAAGGCGGCCGGCUGGACCUGACCUGACGCUGAGGCACGAAGGCGUGGGGAGCGAACGGG
Molecule: ribosomal RNA, 253 nt
Filed under: uncultured bacterium
Lineage: Bacteria
Description: partial 16S ribosomal RNA
Rfam family: Bacterial small subunit ribosomal RNA
Source: RNAcentral